RNAcentral lists this ribosomal RNA (274 nucleotides) under uncultured bacterium. RNAcentral's name for it is "partial 16S ribosomal RNA". It matches the Rfam family "Bacterial small subunit ribosomal RNA", at positions 523 to 796 of the family's 1533-position model. The record is from RNAcentral.
AUACGGAGGGUCCAAGCGUUAUCCGGAAUCAUUGGGUUUAAAGGGUCCGCAGGCGGUCAAUUAAGUCAGAGGUGAAAGCCCAUCGCUCAACGAUAGAACUGCCUUUGAUACUGGUUGACUUGAGUUAUACGGAAGUAGAUAGAAUAAGUAGUGUAGCGGUGAAAAGCAUAGAUAUUACUUAGAAUACCGAUUGCGAAGGCAGUCUACUACGUAUAUACUGACGCUGAGGGACGAAAGCGUGGGGAGCGAACAGGAUUAGAAACCCUGGUAGUCC